CGUCGGCUUUCUCGCGACGGUCAGCCGUGAAUCCCGCCAGGCCCGGAAGGGAGCAACGGUAGCGGUGAUACCGGGUGCCGGGAAUCGGCUGGCGCGG
This 97-nucleotide signal recognition particle RNA is filed under the name Gammaproteobacteria bacterium. Its description in RNAcentral is "signal recognition particle sRNA small type". It matches the Rfam family "Bacterial small signal recognition particle RNA". From Rfam's summary of the family: The signal recognition particle (SRP) is a universally conserved ribonucleoprotein involved in the co-translational targeting of proteins to membranes. RNAcentral also lists the same sequence under 1 other name. Lineage: Bacteria; Pseudomonadati; Pseudomonadota; Gammaproteobacteria. The record is from RNAcentral.